GUUCUGUAGGGUAGGAGGAGAGAGAUGUUGCCUUAUCAGCUGCCUCCUCUCCCAUCAUCUAUUUCUGCAGAAGC
Molecule: microRNA precursor, 74 nt
Filed under: Chaetura pelagica (chimney swift)
Lineage: Eukaryota; Metazoa; Chordata; Aves; Apodiformes; Apodidae
Description: mir-1759 microRNA precursor family
Rfam family: mir-1759 microRNA precursor family
Source: Rfam by way of RNAcentral